RNAcentral lists this transfer RNA (74 nucleotides) under Candidatus Woesearchaeota archaeon CG10_big_fil_rev_8_21_14_0_10_44_13. RNAcentral's name for it is "tRNA-Ala". It matches the Rfam family "tRNA". From Rfam's summary of the family: Transfer RNA (tRNA) molecules are approximately 80 nucleotides in length. Their secondary structure includes four short double-helical elements and three loops (D, anti-codon, and T loops). Lineage: Archaea; Nanobdellati; Candidatus Woesearchaeota. The record is from RNAcentral.
GGGCCUGUAGCUCAGCCCGGUAGAGCAUCGCCCUUGCAAGGCGGGGGCCGCGGGUUCAAAUCCCGCCGGGUCCA